GGAAGACUGUUUUUUUUUUUAUUGCAUUUGGCAACCUCUUUCUUUCAGAGACACAAUACAAUUAAUUAACAUAUUCUGGGGCGUGUUUCUGAGAUUGGGAAGUGGUGGCCCCUUGUUGAGAAGAAAACACUUUAAAUAAAAAAGUAACAUUGUUUAGUCCAAAUGGUACUGGGAAAAGCAGAGUAGUAUUGCUUAUACAGCCCACAGAUGCGGUUGAUUUACUCCAAUUUGCUUUAGCAUCUAACAAACCAGCUUUUCCUUUCCCACGCCCGUAUUAGGUAUAUGUGUUUCGUUUAUACAAAUCUAUCUAAAAUAAACCUGUAUUUAAGAUAUUUGAUGGGAAAUUCAGCAUGUCAUUUCUCGUAUUUAAUACGCAGCACAGAUCCCAUUCCUAAAUCGAAAUCGGAUAAAUGUGACCUGUGACACAACGCAGCAUCACUCUGCUUAUCGUAACACAACAAACAUGAAAAAAGGCUAUUAAUUUAUAUGGAAUGUUAAUUUAGCAAAUCCUACAUAGGGAUAUGUCUAUAGAAGAAAAGUAAUCUGAAGCUUGGUUUUAGAGUGGUGCUAUGUAAAUGUAUUUAAUAAAAAUCCAGUGAAUUAAUAGAUAGCUCAUAAAAAUCCAAACUUUGAAACAAAGUGUUCUUCUCUGGAGAAAAGCCCUGCGUUACAUUUAAGUCGCAUAUAAUCUAAAUUCCAGAGUUUACUAACCCAGCUUCUCAGGACUUAAUACAGCGUUAAUAUUCAAUAUGGUUUAUUAUAAGUUUAUUUCAGGUUCUUUUGUAUCAUACUGUAAUUAUCAUUACUUUGACUUGACUCAUAUAAAAAUGUGGUUAACAUUUAAAUGCCUUUUUAAUGUAGAGAAUUAUAAAUUAACUGUCACAUUUAAAUCUUUAACUUCUACCACUUAGGGAAUGUUAAAUCUUUAAAAGGAAAUAAUCACUGUGCUUAAAAACAUCCGUGCUAGGAUUCCUUUAUUUAGAAUUUUGGUUUGAGAUUAUUCAUUCAAAGAAAAUCUCUUGUUUCAUGUUUACUGUAAACCUCAGUCUGAAAUUAACAUUUAAAUGCCAACAUUAGUAACAGAAGCAGUACUUGAAAACCACCAAUUUUGUCCAUUGCUGCUAGUUAAGUGGAAUUUACCAAAGUUUCCAAAGGUGAUAAUAGAAUUAAAAGCAAUAAACUGAAUACAGUAGUUGGUGGAAUUAUUUCCCCCUCUCUUUGCAGUCUAAAGAAUUACAAAAUUUAUAAUUACAUUUGCACAAAGGAAAAUAGUGCAGCAUAUGAAGAGGCACUGUGUCCAGGAGAUGCGCUGCUAUGACCUGUGAUGCUGCUACCUGUACUUGCAUAACAUGUAAAUACACAGCAUGCAAACUCCUGGUCAAGAAGCGACUACAUGCUAAAUGUUGAAACUUUUUAGUUCUUCAGUACAUUGCGUUUGGAUAGGUGUUAAGUACAGAUUUGAGCAGUGUAUUAAAGAAUAGGAGGAAAAAGAAAACUUUACUCUUUCUCAGUGUAAUGCAAGAGUAAGCAUGUAAAGAUACAUUAACAUGUUUAAUAUGGGUUCUGUAGACAUGCUAUAUCCUUCAUAAUUGAACAUGGAUAGAAAUAAUUUGUUGGAUCUAAGGCAGCCUGCCAUUUAAAACACACUGCGUGCAAAGGUCAACACACGAGAGUUGCAUUUUAUUUUGUGUAAAGUGACCAUUUUGCUGCUGCCUUCCCAGAAAUGAAGCAAAUGCCCAUGAUUAGAAAUGUAUUUCAGUGUAGACUGUUAAUUAUUUAAACCCAUAUAACAAAAGGCAGACAAGCAUCAAUGUAUUUUAAAUGGAUAAUCGGGAGAUGUAUUAUUCUACCUAUUGGGUAUCACUAAGUUAUUGCAAUUUUCCUGUAUUCAGUGGCUUCUGUUUAGCUGCAGUGUGUAUCCUUUUUCACAUAGGUAAAGAUCAAAGCUUUUUCCACAAAGACCCCAUCUGAAAAUGGAGUAAAAAUUGCUAUGAGAAAUUUGCUUUCUGGAAAGAAGUGAGUCUCCUCACUCUACAGCUUCAAGUCCCAAUAUCAGUUCAUGUUUUCUAAUACGGUGUGCAUUUUAUAUGAAGUCUAUGCUUUUUCUGUUAUUCCUGGAAGACUCUUCUGAUUAUUAUAUCCAACUGGUAAUGCGGUUUUGUAAGUGAAAGACUUUUUCUUGUUCAAUGCUUCGUUUUAUUCACUAAAGUUACCACAUGAUUUUGCAUUUUUUAGGAAAAAAAAAAAAAGUGAAAUUUAAAGUAAGCAUUCCAAAAUCUUAGCAUUAUUGUUGGAACUGAUUGGUUUGCACUAAAAAUUUAAGGUGAAAACCUCUUUAUUUUUGUUGAUGAAGCUAAAGUGCUCUGCACUAAUAUAUGUUAACAUUUUCUUGAGGAAUUUCUUAAACUUUUAAAAACAAUUUGCAUUUGGAGAGUGUAAUUUUCUUUCACUUACGCAUUCACUCUUUUUGAAAAAGGUAUCCACAAAAAUAAGAAAACAUAAUCUUCUUGUAUGUUUCUUACAAUAUAACUUGUUUAGCUUCUAGGUCUUGUAGGUUCCUUUUAAGAGAAUUGGAUUUUCUCCUUGCAUUUAGAUUAACAAUGAAAUUAUUCAUUCAUACUCACUGAAUUAUAUUCCUCUCUAAUUAUUUUAAUCUCUUAUAUAUCACUAUAAGAAGGACAAGCUUCUUUUUUUUUUAAAAGAAAAUUGGCCUUCUGUGUCAUGUCAGUGCUUAUUAAAUACUACAAUCAUAAGAACAUAUAUGCUACAAGAUUUUAUGUUCUGAUUCCAUAGCCGUUACAGGCUUAGUGUUUGCAGUAUUUAUUUAGUGGUAAUGCAUUUCUUUUCCUAUUUUGCAUUUCAAAGGUCUUCUCUAAAUGAUUGUUUUACAGAACUAUCAAAAGGUUAUCUAAAUUUUUCCAUCAAAUAUUGCACAAUACCAUAAGGUGGUAGUCAUGGAGUUUCUUUCAGUCCAUGUGCAUUCUUUCUAUAGAAAGAAUUAAACAGAAAUCCAUAAAAAGACAACAAAUGUUUCAUUAAAUAAUUGAAUGUAUUAGGCUUGACUGAAUUUUCACCAAAGCAAAAUUUCAGGCUGUGCAAUACCAAGCUGGUGUGUUACGUGGUGUGAGAUUAAAAUAUUUUUAUUUGAAAACUAUACACUAGGUUUUUCACGAAUAUACUCUUGUUGCCAUGGUGCAGCUUUAAUCAAGUUGUUGCAAAGUGAUUAAUUUUUUCUUUGGCGGUGCUUCUUUAUCAGACUAAAAAUUGAGCCUUAAAACAGCUAACAUUAAAAAAAAAAUCCGAACCCACCAAGACAGGCCCGGGAAUUGUACUAGUUGCUUUUCAAAGAAGAAAUUGCAGGAAGACCUCCUCAAUGAAUUAAAAAAAAAAAAAAAAAAAAAAAAAAAA
Molecule: long non-coding RNA, 3408 nt
Filed under: Strigops habroptila (Kakapo)
Lineage: Eukaryota; Metazoa; Chordata; Aves; Psittaciformes; Psittacidae
Description: lncRNA (ENSSHBG00005002427.1)
Source: RNAcentral